AGCCUCUCUGCCGCAUUUAUUAUAGACCAGGGCUGCCCAAAAGGUGGAUCCCCAGAUGUUAUAGAACUAAAACUCUCAUGAUGCUUUGCAUGCCUUUAGAAUGACAAAGCAGCAUGGGAGUUGUAGUUCUACAACAUCUGGGGAUCCCUGUUACAGACUAACGGGGCAAACUGGGAACACGCAAGACCACAAGAAGUGGAUUACAGUAGUCAGGAUGAGAGAGGACAGCACCAUGGACAAGUACCUUAACCGUAUCAGGCGUUAAAUAGGGGCGGAAGUGUGCUAUGUUUUUGAGAUAGAAGUGACAGGAUUUGGUGAUUGGAAAU
Molecule: non-coding RNA, 326 nt
Organism: Pelobates cultripes (western spadefoot toad)
Lineage: Eukaryota; Metazoa; Chordata; Amphibia; Anura; Pelobatidae
Source: the annotation of a GenBank genome assembly